Molecule: small nucleolar RNA, 126 nt
Filed under: Echinops telfairi (small Madagascar hedgehog)
Lineage: Eukaryota; Metazoa; Chordata; Mammalia; Afrosoricida; Tenrecidae
Description: Small nucleolar RNA SNORA61 (ENSETEG00000025159.1)
Source: RNAcentral
AUCCUCCGGACGCCUUAACCCUCAGAUUUAAUAUUGGUCUGAGUGUCUGAAAAAUGAGGAAAAGUAAAGCUGAUGUGGACUUAAAAAUCUUUAGUAACAUCCAAAUUAAUUUCAACACACACACAC